Long non-coding RNA from Xenia sp. Carnegie-2017, 197 nucleotides. RefSeq lists it as uncharacterized. Lineage: Eukaryota; Metazoa; Cnidaria; Anthozoa; Malacalcyonacea; Xeniidae. The record is from RefSeq and is a predicted model, not a curated record. The transcript is spliced from 3 exons.
AUGUGGGCGUCACUUUAACUUCAUCUGUCAACGUGAGAGACGUAAUUUAAACUAUAUCGGCGAAUGUCAGUCUUCUCCUUGUGGCAAAGAUCACUCAUGCAUAAAUAUCCCAGGCUCCUACGAAUGCCUAUGCUCCUUUGGAUACAAACUUGACAAAUCCAAAAAGAAAUGUAUUACAAGCUGUCCUUCUUAUUGGU